UACGGAGGGUGCGAGCGUUGUCCGGAAUCAUUGGGCGUAAAGGGCGCGUAGGUGGCCCGGUCAGUCUUUGGUGAAAGCGCGGGGCUCAACCCUGCGUCGGCCAGGGAUACUGCCGCGGCUCGAGCACUGUAGAGGCAGGCGGAAUUCCGGGUGUAGCGGUGGAAUGCGUAGAGAUCCGGAAGAACACCGGUGGCGAAGGCGGCCUGCUGGGCAGUUUAGCUGACACUGAGGCGCGACAGCGUGGGGAGCAAAAAGG
This 256-nucleotide ribosomal RNA is filed under the name uncultured bacterium. Its description in RNAcentral is "partial 16S ribosomal RNA". It matches the Rfam family "Bacterial small subunit ribosomal RNA", at positions 524 to 776 of the family's 1533-position model. The record is from RNAcentral.